AAUAAAUAUUUAUUAUCUCGAUUAUAAUGAUGAUAAAUAAUUGUAUGUAUCUUGAAUAUAAAAAUAGAAUAGACAAAUAUGAACAGCCUCCCACAAAAAGGAAAAGCCACUCCUCGUCUCUCACCACACAAGCACAUCACACAUCCCUUAUCCCCACCGCAUAAGGCACAGCUUCAGCAACUCACAUGGCGUAGUCUUCAACUUCUCUCCCUGCCACUGCGCCUCUUGUCCCGUCACAACACGUCCCCCGGCUCCUCUCCCCACCAGCCAUCGCUUCCUUUCCCUGUCUAUGGGUCGAUCUGUAGCAUAGAUAGUAGAUAAGCGACAAUUGCUGGCCUAAAUUCUAUUGUCUGCAUGCAGUGGCUGAUGGACCACGCCCUAUCGAGGAAAGCAGCAACAGGGCCAUAGGUAACAGGCAUCGACAAUGUCAGUGGAACCAGAAACAAUGCCAUCAAACAUGAGCGGCGACCUUGACCAAGCUCCAUGUAGGUUAGUUGUUCCCCUUUCUUGUCAUGUUUUGUCUCUGUUCUCAAAUGAAUUAUUCAUAUAUUCAACAAGCGUAAAAAAAUCUCACGUGUAUCUAUCAAAUAAAAAUUGUGCAGCAAACUUGCAGUGAACUUCGCUGAUAGUGAAUUUAAUUGCUUAUAUGAUGAAUGCAGAAAGAAUUUCUAAGAGAUAGUAACAACUGACAUGAAGUAAAUCCGGUAGUCCAUUUUGAUUAGAAAUGUAUGCUAAUAUGGCUCGGAGAUGCAAUAGAACAAUGGAAGGGUUGCACUUGAAGAUCAAAUAGGACAACUCUGAGCAGUCUAUGGUCACAAAUUGUUUAGGCCCUAGAUCUCAAGCAUCAACUCUAACAGGAAGGGAAUAAAGUGAAGCAACUUCACAAGAAACAAAAAUAUAGGAUUUCUAUUUAUAUGAUAUGGGAGUCAUAGACAAUUGACAUGUGAUGAUAUUUCAUGCUUGUGAUGUGGUAGAUAAAUGCAUCUCCUCGUCAUCUCUCUAUUCCCCUCCCUAUCUCACAAUCGUUUCUUCUUCAUGUGUUUCUCAUGGGGCCAAGCAUAAUCAUUGAUAUGAAUAGUCAUUAAAAUAUUAAAUCACUACAACCAACAAUCCAUCAUCUGCUCCAAAAUUGACCACAAGAAAUAAACCAAUUGCCAGAGACUGAAGUACAACCAAGGCUUCAGAUUGCAAAUAAAAUAAAAUAAAAUGUGCUCCAUUAUUUUAGCUAAAAUAACAAGAAAAGGUAUUAUUAGUUUUUUUUCGCAUUGCCAGUGAUGUAUAUGCUUGUAACAUAAUCACAGUCUCUUCAAAAAUUAACACAUCACUUCUCAUUUUAGAAAGUUUUGAGUGUUACAGGCAUAUAAAUAUAAGACUUAACUCAAUUGCCAAUAAUGUGAGCUUGACUGAACUAAUGGAUAGUGUGAUGCAUUCCCCAAUCAUUUGACUUUGAAAUUUCAGAAAUGGGAAGAUUAUAAUUAACCAGUUGAAAGAAACUUCAGUCAAGGAUGCCAGUACAACUCCACCGAAAAAUGGUACGAGAGAACCUACUACGAGUAAAUAAGGUGUCUGCAAGAACAAAACAACAUAAGUAUCUUUUUCUGCGUAUUUCAUUUGUCAGUACGGACCACUUACCAAAGCUUGAAAUAAAAUACAUGUCCAAGGAAGAAGACAGAGAGUAGACAAGGGCACCAUGGUGUGCGUCAAGGAGACAACCACCUUUCCCAAACUCAGUUGCCUGUUUGUGUAUCUCGAGCCUUCAGGGACAAUGUUCUUUUUCCUUCCUCAUUUAGUGCCAAUAGCAGGUGGGUUGGCGUUUGAUUAAUGUGCCUCAACUUUCUUCUGGAAAAGCACAUUGGCUCAGCUUCAGCUUCACAUGUAGUUAAGUGAAGAAGAAGAAACGAUAACACGCGGUAUAUAUGUCCAUACUUUAGUCAGUCAAAGUAAUUUUUUUGAAAGAUUUGUUCAGCUAUUGAAUUUAUAAGUUGAACAUAUAUUAUAACACUAAAAGCCUCUUCUGCUGCUCCAUCAAUAAUAGUCUAGAAAUAGCAAGCAAGCGAACAAAAUACAGUGAUGUGUGUGUAGAUUGUCAGGAUUCAUCAUUGCAUAUCAUUUUUCUCUGGAUACUACAUAUGCAAGCGCAUGAUAUUGAUAUGCCAACAUUUGUGAAUAAGCGCCAUAUUUUCAGCUUGCUAAAACUCAAAAAAUACAUAAGCUCGGAAAAUCCAUGAAGGGAAGAAAACUCAGAAAAUACAGAAGUUCUAAAACAUGCAGACCUGUUCACACUAAAUCAGUACCCACCUUUACCCAUCAAUACUCCUUGUUUAUUUUGACGAACCGUCAAACCUGUAAGGACUUUGUUUACUUCUAUAAAUUACAGAAAUAACAUUAUGAAAGAUGCAUUUAGGUACAGAGUUAUAGGUAACUAACAUGAAUUGGAUCUUGUAGGCCCUUGUGGCCCUGUAUAUAUUUGUCUCAAGUCUUAACAGCUCCAGCUCUUAGACAAACAUAAAAACAAUGUUAAAUUCAAAUGCCUUAAAAACCACAUGAAUGAAAUUUUGUAUCGACCUGAACAACUAUCAAGUCACACACCAAAAACGUCUAUUACAGGAUAGGGAUUUUGUUGCUUCCCUCCAACCCCAAUUGUAAUCAAAUUUUGACAAAAGAAUGAAUUACCACAGUGAUCAAUCACCUUAAGGACUUGAAAUCACAGUGAUCAAUCUACAUUCUUCCUCAGGUCUUUACUUUGAAACCGGGUUUGCCAUGCUGCUUACAAAAGAGAAAUGCUAGAAGCAGAAACUUCAGGUCUCAUGCAAGUCCAAAGUCAAACAAAUUCAGAAGUUACUUCCAGUUCAUUUCAAUAACUAAGCCAAAACUAAUCAAGGCAACUCACAUGUGGGGAAAUCCUCAAAUUUUUGCAGUCCCAACUUAGAACUGAGAGAACUAAGUGAAAGUGGCACCUUUCUUCUACGCACCGCAACGGUCCUGUAUGAAAGAAAAAUAAGAGUGUCACUUGGCUUCACCAUGUACAUAUAUUUUGUUAGCCCCACGACGCAAGUUGAGAGGUGAGAGGUGAUUCAUUUUUCAAGAGAAUUAGUCAAACUCUAAUAUCUUCACCAUGUACUGAACUUUGUCGAGAUGAGAUGAUUCAGUUGCCUAGUUUACAAAGGUUAGAUGAUCUGAUUUGAUCAAUUUUCCACUUAAACUAAAUAUCAUUAAACUUCCGUUCAACUAAGCAGGGAGACAUUCUGGGAGGCGUGGUGAACUUUUCUUCAGAGGUAGUUUUAUGUUUCUUGCUUUUCACCUCUGCAUUUUGGGCACCACCCAAAUAUAUUUAACAAGAAAAUACUUAACAGUACUAAACCUGACCAUUCCUUGGGAAUACACAACAGGAAUCAUCAAUAUUUUCAACAACGGUCUGGUUGCCUCUAAUGAGAAUCACGCAUGUUGAGUUUCCUUCUUCUAGGGGCCCAAGAUUAGGUGCCUGCAAAAUAAGUCCCAAACUAAGGUACAGUACGGAAAGAAAAUAUCCAAAAUCGUAUUAAAAAUAUGCUAUAAAGCAGCGAAUGCCAACACUCUGUUCUACCCUUUUCGUAAUCAAGAAAAGCACCAACAGAGCACGAAGCCAAGUAAUGCAUAGCAGAUGAGUAAGUGGCCUAGAAAUGACAAUACCUUUACAAUUUAAAAUCAAAGAUAUCAAGAAGGUGUUCUGUCUACAAGUACAUAUGCACUUUAAUUGCUUACUUCUAAGCUUCAGCAUGUAAUCUAUUUCCAGGAACCUCGUUCAGCUAGCAAGAUUUCUCACACGAUAUUAUUUUUUAGAACCAUAUAGACUCAGUAACAAUCAAAGUCAAAGAAUGGUUGCCUGUGGUGGACAAUCACAGUAACAAGAUUUCUAGACUUAGUAACAAUAUUGUCAAGCAUCCGAGUAUCUUUGUUUUGAUAAUCAGGAUACAUGUGGUGGAUAAACAGGUGCAGGAGCUCAUUAUUUAGGUGAGUGCAGAUUUCCAAGUAUCAGCACAAGAAACUCUUUUGUUCUAAUACACUCUAGCUAUGCCUGAAACAAAUGGGAUUAUUGGAAUGGUUUGCUCAACAAAUUGUUACCCGAGUAUUCACCUUCGUCUAUUUUGAACAAAUGGGCUGGAUAGAUUAGUUAGUAUUACGCCAAUGAAAAUAAGAUCACAUGUGAAGAAAAUAAUAUUCAAACCUUCUUUCUCCGACACUGAGAAAUUUAGCUCUCUCACAUAUAUAGAUGAAUGCAUUAUGAGAAAGUUUAUCCCAACCACGAGAGAUUGAGAUUUACUCAAUAGGAUAGCUAAAACUUAUAAGCAACCAUUUUAGAAAUGUAAUAAAGACCUAAAGUGCACUCUCAAGUUAACUUUACCAUAGUUUCUACAGAGGCCAAUCCAAUACCUCCCUGAAUUGUUUAGCUCAGCACUGCUGGCCUCUUUUCCUUCAUCCAUAUCACC
This 4466-nucleotide long non-coding RNA is filed under the name Triticum aestivum (bread wheat). Its description in RNAcentral is "long non-coding RNA (TAES_LNC016219)". The record is from RNAcentral. Lineage: Eukaryota; Viridiplantae; Streptophyta; Magnoliopsida; Poales; Poaceae.